GCCAGCCCGCUCAGAAACUCAAAGGAAUUGACGGGGCCCGCACAAGCGGUGGAGUAUGUGGUUUAAUUCGAUGCAACGCGAAGAACCUUACCUGGUCUUGACAUCCCGGAGACCCUUAGGAAACUAGGGGGUGCUUCCAUCUGGAAGAAUCUGGAGACAGGUGCUGCAUGGCUGUCGUCAGCUCGUGUCGUGAGAUGUCGGGUUAAGUCCCGCAACGAGCGCAACCCUUGCCUUUAGUUGCCAGCAGUUCGGCUGGGCACUCUAAAGGGACUGCCGGUGUUAAACCGGAGGAAGGUGGGGAUGACGUCAAGUCCUCAUGGCCUUUAUGACCAGGGCUACACACGUACUACAAUGGCCGAUACAAAGGGCAGCGACACUGCGAGGUGAAGCCAAUCCCGUAAAAUCGGUCUCAGUCCGGAUUGGAGUCUGCAACUCGACUCCAUGAAGUUGGAAUCGCUAGUAAUCGUGGAUCAGCAUGCCACGGUGAAUACGUUCCCGGGCCUU
Molecule: ribosomal RNA, 504 nt
Filed under: uncultured Desulfobulbus sp.
Lineage: Bacteria; Pseudomonadati; Thermodesulfobacteriota; Desulfobulbia; Desulfobulbales; Desulfobulbaceae
Description: bacterial SSU rRNA
Rfam family: Bacterial small subunit ribosomal RNA
Source: RNAcentral